CUCAGUGGUGAAGGCUGUGCGGACACUGGGGGCCCGCCAGGGGUUUGGCCCCUUACUCAACCCAACCACGGUCCUCUCCGGCGCAGGCCGAUUUGAGGACCUAGACUCCUUGAUGCUGACGGCCUGAGGGGGCUCCCGGGUGCCGGAUAUCUGACACAGGCCAGGGAGGCUCCCCUGGGAGACCUGGCAGGCCUGGAGGUGUGAGUCGGCUCUGAGCAGCUGCUCUGGGAGAGCCAGUCCACGGAGCCAAAGCUGGAGGGCAGCUGCCGGCCACAAGUUGGGGAGGAGGAGAGACGCAAGGCCGUCAGAUGCUUGUCCUGGAAACCAACCAUGAGCUGUGAUGAAAUCCAGGCAACUGAGUUGUGUUUCAGCCCAAAGCAGCAAAUGGAAUCCAGCUUCAGGACCAUCAUCUGACAUAGGGGAAGAAGACUUACAUAGAAGGCCUAACCAGCACCCAAGAUCAUGCUCAUAGGUGGAGGAGACUUGCUUUGUCUCAGAUGAGACUUUGGACUGUGGACUUUUGAGUUAAUGCUGAAAUGAGUUGAGACUUUGGGGAACUGUUGGGAAGGCAUGAUUGGUUUUAAAUAUGAAUAUAUGAGAUUUGGGAGGGGGUCAGGGGUGGAAUGAUAUGGUUUGGCUCUGUGUCCCCACCCAAAUCUCAUCUUGUAGCUCCCAUAAUCCUCCCAUGUUGUGGGAGGGACCCAGUGGGAGAUGAUUGAAUCAUGAGGGCGGGUCUUUCUCAUGCUGUUCAUGAUCCCAUUCAUGUGAGAAAGACCCAUGUGAUCAUGAAUGGGUCUCACAAGAUCUGAUGGUGUUAAAAAUGGGAGUUUCUCUGCACAAGCUCUCUGCCUGCUGCCAUUCACAAAGGAUGUGACUUGCUUCUCCUUGCCUUCUGCUAUGAUUGUGAGGCCUCCCUAGCCAUGUGGAACUGUGAGUCCAAUUAAACCUCUUUCUUUUGUAAAUUGA
RNAcentral lists this long non-coding RNA (966 nucleotides) under Homo sapiens (human). RNAcentral's name for it is "non-protein coding lnc-KCNC2-2:6". Lineage: Eukaryota; Metazoa; Chordata; Mammalia; Primates; Hominidae. The record is from RNAcentral.